RNAcentral lists this ribosomal RNA (2515 nucleotides) under Escherichia coli. RNAcentral's name for it is "bacterial LSU rRNA". It matches the Rfam family "Bacterial large subunit ribosomal RNA", at positions 308 to 2812 of the family's 2925-position model. Lineage: Bacteria; Pseudomonadati; Pseudomonadota; Gammaproteobacteria; Enterobacterales; Enterobacteriaceae. The record is from RNAcentral.
GCCUGAAUCAGUGUGUGUGUUAGUGGAAGCGUCUGGAAAGGCGCGCGAUACAGGGUGACAGCCCCGUACACAAAAAUGCACAUGCUGUGAGCUCGAUGAGUAGGGCGGGACACGUGGUAUCCUGUCUGAAUAUGGGGGGACCAUCCUCCAAGGCUAAAUACUCCUGACUGACCGAUAGUGAACCAGUACCGUGAGGGAAAGGCGAAAAGAACCCCGGCGAGGGGAGUGAAAAAGAACCUGAAACCGUGUACGUACAAGCAGUGGGAGCACGCUUCGGCGUGUGACUGCGUACCUUUUGUAUAAUGGGUCAGCGACUUAUAUUCUGUAGCAAGGUUAACCGAAUAGGGGAGCCGAAGGGAAACCGAGUCUUAACUGGGCGUUAAGUUGCAGGGUAUAGACCCGAAACCCGGUGAUCUAGCCAUGGGCAGGUUGAAGGUUGGGUAACACUAACUGGAGGACCGAACCGACUAAUGUUGAAAAAUUAGCGGAUGACUUGUGGCUGGGGGUGAAAGGCCAAUCAAACCGGGAGAUAGCUGGUUCUCCCCGAAAGCUAUUUAGGUAGCGCCUCGUGAAUUCAUCUCCGGGGGUAGAGCACUGUUUCGGCAAGGGGGUCAUCCCGACUUACCAACCCGAUGCAAACUGCGAAUACCGGAGAAUGUUAUCACGGGAGACACACGGCGGGUGCUAACGUCCGUCGUGAAGAGGGAAACAACCCAGACCGCCAGCUAAGGUCCCAAAGUCAUGGUUAAGUGGGAAACGAUGUGGGAAGGCCCAGACAGCCAGGAUGUUGGCUUAGAAGCAGCCAUCAUUUAAAGAAAGCGUAAUAGCUCACUGGUCGAGUCGGCCUGCGCGGAAGAUGUAACGGGGCUAAACCAUGCACCGAAGCUGCGGCAGCGACACUAUGUGUUGUUGGGUAGGGGAGCGUUCUGUAAGCCUGUGAAGGUGUGCUGUGAGGCAUGCUGGAGGUAUCAGAAGUGCGAAUGCUGACAUAAGUAACGAUAAAGCGGGUGAAAAGCCCGCUCGCCGGAAGACCAAGGGUUCCUGUCCAACGUUAAUCGGGGCAGGGUGAGUCGACCCCUAAGGCGAGGCCGAAAGGCGUAGUCGAUGGGAAACAGGUUAAUAUUCCUGUACUUGGUGUUACUGCGAAGGGGGGACGGAGAAGGCUAUGUUGGCCGGGCGACGGUUGUCCCGGUUUAAGCGUGUAGGCUGGUUUUCCAGGCAAAUCCGGAAAAUCAAGGCUGAGGCGUGAUGACGAGGCACUACGGUGCUGAAGCAACAAAUGCCCUGCUUCCAGGAAAAGCCUCUAAGCAUCAGGUAACAUCAAAUCGUACCCCAAACCGACACAGGUGGUCAGGUAGAGAAUACCAAGGCGCUUGAGAGAACUCGGGUGAAGGAACUAGGCAAAAUGGUGCCGUAACUUCGGGAGAAGGCACGCUGAUAUGUAGGUGAAGUCCCUUGCGGAUGGAGCUGAAAUCAGUCGAAGAUACCAGCUGGCUGCAACUGUUUAUUAAAAACACAGCACUGUGCAAACACGAAAGUGGACGUAUACGGUGUGACGCCUGCCCGGUGCCGGAAGGUUAAUUGAUGGGGUUAGCCGCAAGGCGAAGCUCUUGAUCGAAGCCCCGGUAAACGGCGGCCGUAACUAUAACGGUCCUAAGGUAGCGAAAUUCCUUGUCGGGUAAGUUCCGACCUGCACGAAUGGCGUAAUGAUGGCCAGGCUGUCUCCACCCGAGACUCAGUGAAAUUGAACUCGCUGUGAAGAUGCAGUGUACCCGCGGCAAGACGGAAAGACCCCGUGAACCUUUACUAUAGCUUGACACUGAACAUUGAGCCUUGAUGUGUAGGAUAGGUGGGAGGCUUUGAAGUGUGGACGCCAGUCUGCAUGGAGCCGACCUUGAAAUACCACCCUUUAAUGUUUGAUGUUCUAACGUUGACCCGUAAUCCGGGUUGCGGACAGUGUCUGGUGGGUAGUUUGACUGGGGCGGUCUCCUCCUAAAGAGUAACGGAGGAGCACGAAGGUUGGCUAAUCCUGGUCGGACAUCAGGAGGUUAGUGCAAUGGCAUAAGCCAGCUUGACUGCGAGCGUGACGGCGCGAGCAGGUGCGAAAGCAGGUCAUAGUGAUCCGGUGGUUCUGAAUGGAAGGGCCAUCGCUCAACGGAUAAAAGGUACUCCGGGGAUAACAGGCUGAUACCGCCCAAGAGUUCAUAUCGACGGCGGUGUUUGGCACCUCGAUGUCGGCUCAUCACAUCCUGGGGCUGAAGUAGGUCCCAAGGGUAUGGCUGUUCGCCAUUUAAAGUGGUACGCGAGCUGGGUUUAGAACGUCGUGAGACAGUUCGGUCCCUAUCUGCCGUGGGCGCUGGAGAACUGAGGGGGGCUGCUCCUAGUACGAGAGGACCGGAGUGGACGCAUCACUGGUGUUCGGGUUGUCAUGCCAAUGGCACUGCCCGGUAGCUAAAUGCGGAAGAGAUAAGUGCUGAAAGCAUCUAAGCACGAAACUUGCCCCGAGAUGAGUUCU